CUCCGCCGCCUCCACCGGGCACCCGCCCAGCGCGGCCGGGAGGGAGGGCGGGCGGUGCGCGCUCCCGGGAGCCUCGCGGUGCGCGCUCUCGCGCGCGGGCAACGCCCUUCGGCCCCUUACGCUGGCGGCGGCCGCGCGCUUCCCUCCUCCCGCCCGCGGUCCCGCGCGCUCCCUCCCCUCAGCGAACAAAGGGCGAGGGCGGGCGGUGUACGGGGGGGUCGCGGUCGCCUCGCCGGCCCUGCAGGCCAAAAACAAGUCUGAAAGAGCCGGAUGGGAGCAGAAAGACACGAAACUGAACCCACAAAUGGUGUUUAAGCUCAGGGCUGGGAGAGGCAGAGCCCCCUCACCAUGUCAAAUGGGAGCGCUCCGGGCUGCGGAGUGUGAAAGGGCGGGAGAGAGGCCACAGGCCUUAAAAUGCUGCUCACAAGAGGCUGGCAAGCAAUAAAUACCUUCAUAUCAUCGUGUGAGGAGAGACUGCGGGAGCUGGGCCUGGCGGGACCUCAGGCAAACCAGGCAGGAGAGAUGUUACCAAAAUGGAAUCAUUUCACACCAGAACUCGCAUACUGAAACCCUAAUUAAUAUUGAAAAGUCUUGUGCUCUGCCACGUCUUCAAAUCCAUGGAAUUUGGGUAAGGAAUCUGGAUCAGUCAGGAGUGUUUAUAGCACAUUUACACACAGCUAAUGCUUUCAGCACACCUAAAAAUACAACUGUUGCAAUAGUUCCUGUUUCUGAUCCUGUGAUUUAAUUAUAUCUUAUUCUCCAGUGAGAAAUUUGAUUGAUGUACAGUUCCACUGCUAUUAUGGGGAGGGAUCCUGAGGAUUGGAAAUGGUUGUUUACAGAGGGGAGGUUGUUCCAGGUGGGGUGGGUUUGGUUUGUAAAUCUCACUGGACAAAUCAGUUUUGCUGCAUUUUAAAACCUGUCAGAAGAAUCCCACCUUGCUGUGUGCAACAGGGUGGUUUAUUCUGCUGUCCCGUGCUGGAAGCUACUGCACAGGCAUUACCUUUAUUUUUAAAAUUUCUUUUUCAUUUUUAAUCUUAAUUUUUUUUGUAUGGGCACACAGAUCCAUAAACUGCCCUAGUUUUUAGUGUUCAGUGGACGAGUGUGCAAAUCACCAGAAGUAAGUGGAUUUAUCAGAUAUAAGUUUAUCUGUUUCUACACACUGCAAAAAUAUUGUUUGUAACUAAACUAACUGGCUGAAAAUACCGUAAAUACCUGAAGAACUGGUAUAGAUAAUUAAUAAAACCAAUUUUUAUGGUUUUUUGUUAGUCCACCUUGAAGUUACAGUUUUCCUCUUGGGUUAGAGCCACAGAAAACCUCUCUGUAAAAAGGUUGCUCCAUAGUUCUCCAUUGCAAAACUUCUUGCACCUUUUUCUCAAUCAGCUGACAUUAACCCCUUCGUAGGGAACAUCCUGAGUUUAGAUGAAACUUCGGGCAGUUUCACUUCAUAAAGUAAUUAAUUUUUGCAUACCGCUAACAUUGUUAUAAUCAAAAUUUACAUAUUGGUAUCUGAGUGAAAAUACUGCACAGUUUUUAAGGUAAAUCAAGAUGCUCCUGGUCUCUGUAAGAAUAACUGUCACCAUACAGGUAUAAUUUAUGCUUUCUGAAAAAGGGUGAAAAAUCAGCACUUCUCAAGAUUCCAUAGCUCCUCGGAUGGUAUAAGAAUACUGCUGAAAUAAUAAAUAAUUAUGGUUUGCCUCCUUUCUUUGUAACCUCAGAUAAGUGUUUUAAAUAGACUGACUCAAAACUCCACCUCAUA
Molecule: long non-coding RNA, 1756 nt
Organism: Corvus hawaiiensis (hawaiian crow)
Lineage: Eukaryota; Metazoa; Chordata; Aves; Passeriformes; Corvidae
Exons: 3
Source: RefSeq, a predicted model, not a curated record